ACACAUGCAAGUCGAGGGGCAGCACAGGGUAGCAAUACUUGGGUGGCGACCGGCGCACGGGUGAGUAACGCGUAUGCAACUUACCUAUCAGAGGGGGAUAGCCCGGCGAAAGUCGGAUUAAUACCCCAUGAAACAGGGGUCCCGCAUGGGAAUAUUUGUUAAAGAUUCAUCGCUGAUAGAUAGGCAUGCGUUCCAUUAGGCAGUUGGCGGGGUAACGGCCCACCAAACCGACGAUGGAUAGGGGUUCUGAGAGGAAGGUCCCCCACAUUGGUACUGAGACACGGACCAAACUCCUACGGGAGGCAGCAGUGAGGAAUAUUGGUCAAUGGCCGAGAGGCUGAACCAGCCAAGUCGCGUGAAGGAAGAAGGAUCUAUGGUUUGUAAACUUCUUUUAUAGGGGAAUAAAGUGGAGGACGUGUCCUUUUUUGUAUGUACCCUAUGAAUAAGCAUCGGCUAACUCCGUGCCAGCAGCCGCGGUAAUACGGAGGAUGCGAGCGUUAUCCGGAUUUAUUGGGUUUAAAGGGUGCGUAGGUGGUGAUUUAAGUCAGCGGUGAAAGUUUGUGGCUCAACCAUAAAAUUGCCGUUGAAACUGGGUUACUUGAGUGUGUUUGAGGUAGGCGGAAUGCGUGGUGUAGCGGUGAAAUGCAUAGAUAUCACGCAGAACUCCGAUUGCGAAGGCAGCUUACUAAACCAUAACUGACACUGAAGCACGAAAGCGUGGGG
RNAcentral lists this ribosomal RNA (723 nucleotides) under uncultured bacterium. Its description in RNAcentral is "bacterial SSU rRNA". It matches the Rfam family "Bacterial small subunit ribosomal RNA", at positions 51 to 766 of the family's 1533-position model. The record is from RNAcentral.